GCAAGAACAAAUUCAUUGUCCCUGGCUGUAUGUUUGUACAUGUGAUCCUCAAUUUGAGUUGGACCCGGAUGCCAGCAUCGCUCUGCUACACCUCAAAAGUCCACAGCACUCGACUGAUAUUCUCCGGGAGGCUAAACCGAUGCUAAUGGGAAGGAGUUGGCCGUCAGCACUGCGUACUUGUUCUGGAACCUGACGGACCCCAUCAUCAACAAGAGACCCGAGAUGAUCUCAAAGCCAGCCCCUUCCAAGACAGCGAUGCCCUCCUCUAUUCACGGCCUGGGUGCGACACAGCUACAUCGUCACCGACGGGCGGAUUCCCGACUGGCUCGACCUGGAGAACCCCAAAGUUUCAGUUGUUACGCAUGAGGUAAAACCUGAGCUUCUUUAACUGCUCAAGUUUGGCGCCUGGCUCCGAAGAGUGAUCGCCCACGCGCCCUACAUGACUGACAAGGUUAUCAUGCAGGAGCUGCAAAACACAUUUCCAAAAGAAUUUGAGAAGACCUCAAGCCACCGCUGGCGUCACUCAGAAGACAUGCAGUACGCCUUUUCCUGUUUUUACUACCUGAUACACACUCACCAGAAAAUCAUCUCAGACAAAGAUCAUUCUGGAAUGGAAUGGAAUGUUUUUCGGGGGAUGUGACGAUGUAUACUGUAACUGCUGUGAUGGACCCGAGCUAGCGAGCGACUGAUGCCGAAUGCUAGCUAUGCUGGACUGGUAGGUGGCAGCGUAGCUAGUGGCCACUAGGGGUGUCUUAGAAUGUUGAACUAUUUGACAGUCGAUUCGAAGGAGUCUCAUUCGACAGUAAACGUAAAAUAUUUUUCUUGUAACUUUUAAGAGUAUAAUGAGUCCUAAAAUAAGUAAAUUGUUCUUCAUCACAUAGCUAGAUUUCAAAUGUUCUAUUUACAAGGUAAGAAGUGAGCCAAAUGCUCUUAUGAGAUUCCUAAAUUAAGAUUAAAUUUGCUUUUGUGAGGCUCUUAAUUUAAGGCAAAUAUUCUUAAUUGGUUGCUGAAGAAUAAUCAAACAUUUUAGCUUGUUUUUAGAAAAACUAACUAAUUUCUGGAAAAAAAACCCUCUUAAGAGUUGGCUAGCUAUACUUUCUUAAUAUAAGAUUUUUUUCUCAAGUGAAAAUUGCUACAUGAGAUAUUUUUUUCUUUUUAGGAAAAAAACAAGAAAUGGUUGCUUAAAAUGGGAGUUUUUUUUACUUUGUUGAAAUUUAGAUUUUGCAGUGCAUGGCUGCUGCUGAGCACACAUUUUUACAUAGAAUGUCUUUGCUUUUGUUCCACAUAGGCUGAUUUGCCUUAAGAAUUGAAAAUGUGUUAAUUUAUUAAUCAUUUAUUAAUAAAUAAUUUCUUUGCAGAAAUUCACUUAUAUAAACGUGGGAUGAUGGGUAUAUAUGUUAUUAUUAUCCAAUUCUUUGUGGCCUGUUGUACUUAAAAUGGUCUAUUCCUGCAGCAGCCGAGACAGAAAAGCAAAUUAAACGCAAGAUCACGUUAAUAACUGUAAUGUGAACAUUUUUUGUGGAUAACAGAAAACAUUUGCCAAUAAAAUGUCCACAAGCAAAGAAAUAACUACGUAACUCAACCAUCAACGGCGUUACAUAUGUGAUAAUCCACCGCAUCAUGGCGUGUCUUGCAUUUGGGAUGUCACAAAAAGCAAAAGCAAUGUUAUAAACAGUUAAACAAGUGUAAAAUAUGUUGAGACAUAAAAAAAGCAAAAGAAUGUCCUCCUCUGGCAUUGCAUCCUUGCACCCUGACAUUAACUAAUACUGUAUAAUAACAAGUAUGAGCAAUAAUUGAAUGGGCUGCUGGGCUUUGCAGGCCCUUAAUAAACUUCCUUGAAC
Long non-coding RNA from Dunckerocampus dactyliophorus (ringed pipefish), 1841 nucleotides. RefSeq lists it as uncharacterized. The transcript is spliced from 3 exons. The record is from RefSeq and is a predicted model, not a curated record. Lineage: Eukaryota; Metazoa; Chordata; Actinopteri; Syngnathiformes; Syngnathidae.